UAUCCGGAGGGACAUGAGAAAAGCUGCAGCACCCCACAGCCAGAACAGCAGCUGCCCGCUCAUACCUGCAAUCCAUGCCUCCUCAAGCCCUUGCUUUGAUACCCCUGCCCUUACCCCUGAUUUCUGUCAACUAGUAGCAGGGCUAGCCUCCUGGGAAAUCUGAGAUACAUAUACCCCACAGCUGACCCUGGAGGCUGGCAAAAGAUUUUCCCCUGAAGGAAAUAUUUGGACACGGGGGUUCAGACAUCUCCCCCACUUGUCUCCUAGGGGCGAGAAGCGGGACUGUCUCCAUGGGUGUCGGGAAGGACUUGGGACAUAAAAUGGUAUUUAUCUGACCAGAGCCUGCUGCUGCAGGCCAGACUAGACCCUCCCUAAAGGGGCCCUAGCUAUCCCUGCUGCUGCCCGCUGGACUAAGCUACUCUCCCUGCUUCUCUGCUGGCACCUCCCAACACCAGCCCGGGCACCAGAAAAUCUCACACCUGUUCCAGCCUGGAUCCAUGCAUCUCACGUCAAGCCUACACCUCCACAGGACAACCCAGGACCAUCCAAAUGAAAGUUUCAGCGUACCCAAAAUCCUCUCGCCUCUUGGGAGGAUACUGAGCAAACCCCUGGAAACUUUUAUCCUGUAUGCAAAUAUUCUGAAUGAUAUGUUU
Molecule: long non-coding RNA, 653 nt
Organism: Alexandromys fortis (reed vole)
Lineage: Eukaryota; Metazoa; Chordata; Mammalia; Rodentia; Cricetidae
Exons: 2
Source: RefSeq, a predicted model, not a curated record